AGUAACUCAGCAUCUACAUGUAGAGUAUCAUGGACAGCUGAGAUCAGGGCAAAGUCAGGUGCCAGCAUCAGUCUAGAAAGGGUCAGGCAAGAAUGGAAUAGUUAGGCUUGUCCAGGAUCACACAACUAACCAGGUCCUGCCACAGUCAGACGAGGCAGGGUAGAGGUGCCAUCUUCUGUUAAGACCCUGCUUUCAGGAAGGGCCACUAGUGGCCACCAUGUGAAGUUUUGAGUCUCACAGGAAGUUUUCUGACCUGGAGCGUCUCAGUGGAAUACUCAGUAGCCUCCGGGGGUCUGGCAGUCAUAAUGUUUGCUUCCUGAUGCAAACUCGCACAGUCUACCCUCAGCCUCUCAUUAAGCUGCUCUAGGGAGCCUUCCACUUUUUGAUGGGAAAUUUAGAAAGAAGAGUAACAAUGUUGAAAACAUGACCUGAACUCUGGGGUUCUGUUGUUACCUUCA
This 458-nucleotide long non-coding RNA is filed under the name Bos taurus (domestic cattle). Its description in RNAcentral is "long non-coding RNA NONBTAT025385". The record is from RNAcentral. Lineage: Eukaryota; Metazoa; Chordata; Mammalia; Artiodactyla; Bovidae.